Long non-coding RNA from Amphiprion ocellaris (clown anemonefish), 555 nucleotides. NCBI's taxonomy places the organism in Eukaryota, Metazoa, Chordata, Actinopteri, Pomacentridae. The record is from Ensembl.
AAAAACAUGCCAUAUUAUGACAUAAUGUAAAGGAGGCCGUGAAAAACACUCCAGAAAGGUUUUCUUUGAAAAACAAAUCAUCAUGAAUUUUGGCGCAAAAAAAACGCCAUAGUAUACUAUGCCGAAAAAAAAAAUGCGAUUUUUCAACAUGUUGUAAAAACGUGCCGUAUGAUGAAAUAAUGUAAAGUAGGCCAUGAAAAACACUCCAGAAAGGUUUUCUUUGAAAAAAAAAUCAUCAUGAAUUUUGGCGCAAAAAAACGCCAUAGUAUACUAUGUCGAAAAAAAAAUGCGAUUUUUCAACAUGUUGUAAAUACGUGCCAUAUGAUGAAAUAAUGUAAAAGAGGCCGUGAAAAACACUAUGGUAAGGUUCUCGUUGAAAAAAAAAUUUAUGAAUUUUGGUGCAAAUAAACGCCAUAGUAUAUACUAUGUCGAAAAAAAAUGCCAUAUUUCAACAUGUUGUAAAAACGUGCCAUAUGAUGAAAUAAUGUAAAGUAGGCCGUGAAAAACACUCCAGAAAGGUUUUCUUUGAAAAAAAAAAUCAUCAUGAAUUUUGGC